AUUUAAGAGAAGAUGAUUAAUCUUUUUGACCUUUUUUUUUCUCAUACAAGGGAAACUAAAUACGAAACAUUGGACGGACUACAUUUCUCAAAAAGGGAGGGAAAAGAAGCCUAAAAGUCUCUCAAUAAUCCUCCAACCGAUUAAAAUAAAAUAAAAAUAAAAAGCUUUAGAAUUUACAAGAAAAUAUACAGGCUAAGGAACACUAAAUGAGACUUUUAAGACUUCCAGUUCCUCCUAUUGCCUCUUCCCUGCAAGUUGAAGUUCUAGAUAGUGAGGGCAACUCCUUAAAAUUUGGGAUCCUUUCACAUUUCUUGCGGUGUGAGUUCAUACAUCUCAUGCACACAAAUAUUGGAGGAAUUUUAUCAGAAUUAUCAAUCCCAGCACACCUAGUAUGCUGCCAGACCCCACAGGCAUCACAAGCCAACAUUUUCUCUCCAUCAUCAUCCUUGGCCCCACACAAACAAUCAACUGUCCACCUCCCUGUUCCUCUUUCCAUUCUAAAUUGGCUAAUUGCAUGUCUUGAUGGGCAUGUCCCUUUAAUCUUGACUGAUCCACUUGUUCCAACAAGAAAUUUAACCGUAAUUGAAUCUUCUAAAGAUCCAUAUUCAACCAUUUCAUGAACUUCAAACCUCUUAAACAUCACAUAUACUUCUUCAAAAGCUUUAGCUGCUUCCUUCUUAAGAUCAGCUACAGUAGCAUUUAAAGGUAAGACUAUCAGUUCCGGAGGUAUGGCAGGGUCAUCUUUCAGUUGAUUUGAAACCUCUACAUGACACAAGAGAUGAAUGGCAAAUAAAUUAUUUAGCAUCAUUUUAUCAGGUCUGUAUUCCUUCAUAAAUUGUUUGCAGUCAAUAAGCUUGGUUGCUGCAUCAAUCACACUUUUUCUUGUCACUUGAGAUCCAUAGUUAAUUGCAGUUUCAGGAUCAAGCAAAGAAUCAAGUAAAAAUCUCAGAUCACCCUUGACAUCCUCUUUCAAUGGAUGGAUUUUGUCCAAUCCAUCUUCACAAGUAUUGGAACUAACCGUUGUGAGCCUGUAUUCAGCAUCACAUGAAUUAAGAUUGCAUUGGACCUGAACCACCAUGCUAUCAGCUGCCAACUUCCCCGCAAAGUGUUUAAGGGAAUAAUCAAGAAGCUCUGGAGAUGCUCUUUUAUACAUGACACCCUUAAGAGCACGCCUUGACACCCAAUUGUUCUCACCAGAUGCGGCCAACACCUUCAUCAUAGCUUCUUGAACACAUUCGACAUCAUGUCUAGUCCAUGCACACAAUAUAUUUGAAGUACUAGAUCCUAAAUUCUUUGGAGUUGUUUUAGGCAAUACUGGUUCAUUGCUUUCAUGGAUUAGCCUCAAUAAAAAGGAGCAAAGGUCCUUUAGGGUAAGAAGUUCUGAGUCUGACAAUGAUUGGUAAAAACCAAUAACAGCCUGCAAACGUGUUCGUGGCCUUCGCCUCUGAAACAAAAGCGGGACUAGGGGCAUAUUUGAGAGAGUUUCCACUGCUUUCUGGUAGGAAUCUGGUGUGAGCGCAUAGCUUCCGCUUUGAAAUUCAUAACCCCAAUUACCAUACCAUGAAUGGCCUUUGGUGAUUGCAUGCAGCAACCGAUACUCCAUCUCAUAUUUUCUUGACACAUCCAUCACUGAUACCUUCCUGACAGCAAGAGUAGCGCAGAGCCUAUCCCAGAAGUCCAUUAUAUGACAACCAGUAAGAAUAUUGGAACCACCUUCUCUGCCAUUGACCCUAAGAAGGUGGCCAAAGCCAUUGGAGUGAACAACACCGUGCAAUAGAUGAGUAUUAUCUUCAAAUUGGGAAAAAAUCCAAUCUUCAACGUGAUUAGCAGUAACUACAGAAUCACACCACUUGCACCUAGACUCUGAUACAUGCAUCGAAUUGCUGCAUUUCGAACACAAAUGUUGAUGUUCAUCUAUGCUGCCUUUUGUAGCUCGAAUUAUGAAAUGGUAUCGCUUCCUGCACACUGGAUGACCGCUCCAACCAACCACUCGGCACUGAUUGCAGUAGGGGGAUCUGGAACUUCCGGUGACGUCCUCUUCCACAAUAUCAAGAACCACCACCACCGGCGAAAGAUCCGGACCUUCCACCAGAUCUCCGACCCGAAACAUGAUCUGCCACGUCAGUAGACAUGGGAAAAGCGGAGGAGGGAAGGUGACCCGCGCGUGGCGGGACAGAAAGAGCUUUAUGGCUUCCCGGAACGGCUUCGCCAAGUCUUCAUCCAGCGAUGGUCCAUCAGGGAAGGUGAAGAAGUCGUAGAGAUUGGCGGUCACUCUGUUUCUCUUGGCUCUCUUUAGCGGCCUGUCGUUCACCACCAUGGUCUGUUGGAUUAAACGACGUCACGUUUUGGAAUUGUAAUUUGUACGUGUCGCGUUAGAUAUAUAAAUUUAGACAGUAAAGGAGAGAAGUAUGUCCUAAAUAGACGAGAAAUUUUGGACUCCAGGAUUUGGCAGUUCGUAGCUUUGCCUUUUAAAAUUUU
Molecule: unclassified non-coding RNA, 2478 nt
Filed under: Hevea brasiliensis (rubber tree)
Lineage: Eukaryota; Viridiplantae; Streptophyta; Magnoliopsida; Malpighiales; Euphorbiaceae
Source: RNAcentral